RNAcentral lists this ribosomal RNA (490 nucleotides) under uncultured bacterium. RNAcentral describes it as "bacterial SSU rRNA". It matches the Rfam family "Bacterial small subunit ribosomal RNA", at positions 338 to 850 of the family's 1533-position model. The record is from RNAcentral.
CCUACGGGGAGGCAGCAGGUAGGAAUCUUCGGCAGUGGGCGCAAGCCUGACCGAGCGACACUGCAUGAGGGAUGCCGGCCUUGGGUAUGUAAACUUCUGAACCAGGGACGAUAAUGACGGUACCUGGAUAAUAGCACCGGCUAACUCCGUGCCAGCAGCCGNGGUAAUACGGAGGGUGCAAGCGUUAUCCGGAAUCAGUGGGNGUAAAGGGCGUGUAGGCGGUCCGUUAAGUCCGAUGUUAAAGCCCGGGGCUCAACCCCGGCAUGGCGUUGGAUACUGGCAGGCUAGACGACUGGAGAGGAAAGUAGAAUUACCAGUGUAGCGGUGAAAUGCGUAGAUGCUGGUAGGAAUACCCAUUGUAGAGGGCUUUUUGGACAGUUUGUGACGCUGAGACGCGAAAGAGUGUGGGGAACAAACGAUAAUAUACCCCGGUAGUCCACACCCAAAAAAGAUACAUAUUGUGUGUNGGCUCGUUGGGGUCGGUGCCGGA